AGAGUUUGAUCCUGGCUCAGGAUGAACGCUGGCGGCGUGCUUAACACAUGCAAGUCGAACGAACCUUCGGGUUAGUGGCGGACGGGUGAGUAACGCGUGGGAAUCUGCCCUCAGGAGGGGGAUAACGGCUGGAAACGGCCGCUAAUACCCCAUAUGCCGAGAGGUGAAAUGAAUUUCGCCUGAGGAUGAGCCCGCGUCUGAUUAGCUUGUUGGUGAGGUAAUGGCUCACCAAGGCUUCGAUCAGUAGCUGGUCUGAGAGGAUGAUCAGCCACACUGGGACUGAGACACGGCCCAGACUCCUACGGGAGGCAGCAGUGGGGAAUUUUCCGCAAUGGGCGAAAGCCUGACGGAGCAACGCCGCGUGAGGGAUGAAGGCCUCUGGGCUGUAAACCUCUUUUCUCAAGGAAGAAGAUCUGACGGUACUUGAGGAAUAAGCCACGGCUAAUUCCGUGCCAGCAGCCGCGGUAAUACGGGAGUGGCAAGCGUUAUCCGGAAUUAUUGGGCGUAAAGCGUCCGCAGGCGGCCUUUCAAGUCUGCUGUUAAAACGUGGAGCUUAACUCCAUCAAGGCAGUGGAAACUGUUGGGCUUGAGUGUGGUAGGGGCAGAGGGAAUUCCCGGUGUAGCGGUGAAAUGCGUAGAUAUCGGGAAGAACACCAGUGGCGAAGGCGCUCUGCUGGGCCAUAACUGACGCUCAUGGACGAAAGCCAGGGGAGCGAAAGGGAUUAGAUACCCCUGUAGUCCUGGCCGUAAACGAUGAACACUAGGUGUCGGGGGAAUCGACCCCCUCGGUGUCGUAGCCAACGCGUUAAGUGUUCCGCCUGGGGAGUACGCACGCAAGUGUGAAACUCAAAGGAAUUGACGGGGGCCCGCACAAGCGGUGGAGUAUGUGGUUUAAUUCGAUGCAACGCGAAGAACCUUACCAGGGUUUGACAUCCUGCGAACCUCUAAGAAAUUGGAGGGUGCCUUCGGGAACGCAGUGACAGGUGGUGCAUGGCUGUCGUCAGCUCGUGUCGUGAGAUGUUGGGUUAAGUCCCGCAACGAGCGCAACCCACGUUUUUAGUUGCCAGCAUUUAGUUGGGCACUCUAGAGAGACCGCCGGUGAUAAACCGGAGGAAGGUGUGGACGACGUCAAGUCAUCAUGCCCCUUACAUCCUGGGCUACACACGUACUACAAUGCUACGGACAAAGGGCAGCGAACUCGCGAGGGCAAGCAAAUCCCAUAAACCGUGGCUCAGUUCAGAUCGUAGGCUGCAACUCGCCUACGUGAAGCAGGAAUCGCUAGUAAUCGCAGGUCAGCAUACUGCGGUGAAUACGUUCCCGGGCCUUGUACACACCGCCCGUCACACCAUGGAAGUUGGCCACGCCCGAAGUCGUUACUCCAACCCUUGUGGAGGAGGACGCCGAAGGUGGGGCUAAUGACUGGGGUGAAGUCGUAACAAGGUAGCCGUACCGGAAGGUGCGGCUG
This 1465-nucleotide ribosomal RNA is filed under the name Prochlorococcus sp. AG-363-K07. Its description in RNAcentral is "bacterial SSU rRNA". It matches the Rfam family "Bacterial small subunit ribosomal RNA". The record is from RNAcentral. Lineage: Bacteria; Bacillati; Cyanobacteriota; Cyanophyceae; Synechococcales; Prochlorococcaceae.